This 431-nucleotide ribosomal RNA is filed under the name uncultured bacterium. RNAcentral describes it as "bacterial SSU rRNA". It matches the Rfam family "Bacterial small subunit ribosomal RNA", at positions 355 to 796 of the family's 1533-position model. The record is from RNAcentral.
UCGAGGAUCUUCGGCAAUGGGCGCAAGCCUGACCGAGCGACGCCGCGUGCGCGACGAAGGCCUUCGGGUUGUAAAGCGCUGUCGGGGGGGAGAAAGCCGAAAGGUUGAUCUAUCCCCGGAGGAAGCACGGGCUAAGUUCGUGCCAGCAGCCGCGGUAAGACGAACCGUGCGAACGUUGUUCGGAAUCACUGGGCUUAAAGGGCGCGUAGGCGGUUCAUCAAGUCAGGGGUGAAAUCUUUCGGCUCAACCGGAAAAGUGCCCCUGAUACUGAUGAUCUCGAGGGAGGUAGGGGCCUGUGGAACUUCUGGUGGAGCGGUGAAAUGCGUUGAUAUCAGAAGGAACGCCGGUGGCGAAAGCGACGGGCUGGACCUCUUCUGACGCUGAGGCGCGAAAGCCAGGGGAGCAAACGGGAUUAGAUACCCGUGUAGUCC